AGCAACCCCAACCACAGCGAGAUCGAACAACAACAAUGUCUUUGAGCAACAUCUGGUAGCAGACGACGAAAUGAAUUUGAUAUUCGACGAUUCUGUCGAUCGCGCCAUCGCGG
Molecule: small RNA, 113 nt
Filed under: Bathycoccus prasinos
Lineage: Eukaryota; Viridiplantae; Chlorophyta; Mamiellophyceae; Mamiellales; Bathycoccaceae
Description: partial Betaproteobacteria transfer-messenger RNA
Source: RNAcentral